GCGGGGGUGCCCGAGCCAGGUCAAAGGGGACGGGCUCAGAUGUGCGUUUUGCACAUGGGAAUCCCGUUGGCGAAGGCCUGCGUGGGUUCGAAUCCCACCCCCCGCA
Molecule: transfer RNA, 106 nt
Filed under: Vulcanisaeta distributa DSM 14429
Lineage: Archaea; Thermoproteati; Thermoproteota; Thermoprotei; Thermoproteales; Thermoproteaceae
Rfam family: tRNA
About the family: Transfer RNA (tRNA) molecules are approximately 80 nucleotides in length. Their secondary structure includes four short double-helical elements and three loops (D, anti-codon, and T loops).
Source: Rfam by way of RNAcentral